UUUUACGGCGAUACCACCCUGAAUGCUCCCAAUCUCAUCUGAUCUUGGAAGCUUAGCAGGGUUCGGCUUGGUUAGUACUUGGAUGGCAUAUUCUCUGAUAUGCAACUCUUUAAAAA
Molecule: ribosomal RNA, 116 nt
Filed under: Octodon degus (degu)
Lineage: Eukaryota; Metazoa; Chordata; Mammalia; Rodentia; Octodontidae
Source: RNAcentral